RNAcentral lists this ribosomal RNA (430 nucleotides) under uncultured archaeon. Its description in RNAcentral is "bacterial SSU rRNA". It matches the Rfam family "Archaeal small subunit ribosomal RNA", at positions 474 to 903 of the family's 1478-position model. The record is from RNAcentral.
UACCAGCUCUUCGAGUGGUGUGGAUGUUUAUUGGGCCUAAAGCAUCCGUAGCUGGCUGGGCAAGUCCCCUGUUAAAUCCACCGAUUUAAUCGUUGGAGUGCGGGGGAUACUGUUCGGCUAGGGGACGGGAGAGGCAGACGGUAUUUUCGGGGUAGGGGUGAAAUCCUAUAAUCCCGGGAAGACCACCAGUGGCGAAGGCUGUCUGCUAGAACGCGCCCGACGGUGAGGGAUGAAAGCUGGGGGAGCGAACCGGAUUAGAUACCCGGGUAGUCCCAGCUGUAAACGAUGCAGGCUAGGUGUUUGGGCGGCCACGUGCCGCUCUAGUGCCGCAGGGAAGCCGUUAAGCCUGCCGCCUGGGGAGUACGGCCGCAAGGCUAGAAACUUAAAGGAUUGGGCGGGGAGCACCACGAAGGGGUGAAGCUUGCGGUUU